RNAcentral lists this small RNA (28 nucleotides) under Bombyx mori (domestic silkworm). RNAcentral describes it as "ovarian small RNA-23301". Lineage: Eukaryota; Metazoa; Arthropoda; Insecta; Lepidoptera; Bombycidae. The record is from RNAcentral.
UAUACAGAGUUCCUCCGUGAAUAUGCCA